AACGAACGCUGGCGGCAUGCCUAACACAUGCAAGUCGAACGAGACCUUCGGGUCUAGUGGCGCACGGGUGCGUAACGCGUGGGAAUCUGCCCUUGGGUUCGGAAUAACAGCGAGAAAUUGCUGCUAAUACCGGAUGAUGACGUAAGUCCAAAGAUUUAUCGCCCAAGGAUGAGCCCGCGUAGGAUUAGCUAGUUGGUGAGGUAAAAGGCUCACCAAGGGCGACGAUCCUUAGCUGGUCUGAGAGGAUGAUCAGCCACACUGGGACUGAGACACGGCCCCAGACUCCUACGGGAGGCAGCAGUGGGGAAUAUUGGACAAUGGGCGAAAGCCUGAUCCAGCAAUGCCGCGUGAGUGAUGAAGGCCUUAGGGGUUGUAAAAGGCUCUUUUUACCCCGGGGAUGAUAAAUGACAGUACC
Molecule: ribosomal RNA, 415 nt
Filed under: uncultured bacterium
Lineage: Bacteria
Description: bacterial SSU rRNA
Rfam family: Bacterial small subunit ribosomal RNA
Source: RNAcentral